UACGUAAGUGGCGAGCGUUAUCCGGAAUUACUGGGCGUAAAGCGUGCGUAGGCGGUUUAGUGUGUGGGAAUUGAAAGCCCGGGGCUCAACUCCGGAUCCGGUUCCCAAACUGCUAGACUCGAGCGUAUCAGAGGAGAGCGGAAUUCCCGGUGUAGCGGUAAUAUGCGUAGAUAUCAGGAGGAACACCGAUGGCGAAGGCAGGUCUCUGGGCUGACACUGACGCUCAUGCACGAAAGCGUGGGGAGCAAACAGG
This 253-nucleotide ribosomal RNA is filed under the name uncultured bacterium. RNAcentral's name for it is "partial 16S ribosomal RNA". It matches the Rfam family "Bacterial small subunit ribosomal RNA", at positions 524 to 776 of the family's 1533-position model. The record is from RNAcentral.